Numida meleagris (helmeted guineafowl) is the source of this 3461-nucleotide long non-coding RNA. RefSeq lists it as uncharacterized. The record is from RefSeq and is a predicted model, not a curated record. NCBI's taxonomy places the organism in Eukaryota, Metazoa, Chordata, Aves, Galliformes, Numididae. The transcript has 2 exons.
AAAGACAGAGGCAUGUUAUGGAGGAAAACAAAAACAACAAAAGUUUACCAGCUUAAUUUGCUACAGAUAACUUUCUAAGAAAUCUUGUUUACAAGUGACCCUUGGGCUUUUUGCCUGUCUUAUAUUAGUGAAAAUACUACGCCUGGAUGUCCCUACCAUCCCAAGACCGUGUUGAAGUUACAGUGUAGCAAAUAGUUAAUAUAAUAGGUGGAAUGUCUGUACUGUAAGUCUCUCUUGUUCCAUGUACUCUGCUUUUAAACCAGAAUAGACUGAAGUCAUACUGAGAAUUGUUUUUUUUUAAUGAUAGUGUAGGGCAUGUCCAAUGCCACCUUCUUUGAUUUGGAUAUUAGUUACUUUUGACUACGUAGGAUUGGUGACAAGCUGGAGGAGUUUUGUAGGAGCUGAUGAAUACGAUUCUCCUAUCUGAAUGAAACUGUGCUUUUAAUGUUAGGAAAUUACUCAGUAAUCAUAAAGAUCUUAACUUCAGCAGUACUGUAGCACCAGGAGUACUACAUUCACCUCUGGGACCACCAGCAACACAGAUCUGUUGGACUGGGUCCAAAAGAGGGUCAUGAGGAUGAUCAGAGGGCUGGAGCAACUCUUCUGUAAGGAGAGGCUAAGAGAGCUGGGGUUGUUCAGUACAGAGAAAAGGCUCACUGUGGUUUUCCAGUACCUAAAGGGGGCCUACAGAAUAGAUGGGGAUGGACUCUUUAUAAGAGAGUGUAGUGAUAGGACAAGGGAUAGCAUUUAAACUAAAAGAAGAGAGAAUUAGAUAAGCUACUAGAAAGGAAUUUUUUCUCUGAGAGUGGCGAGGCACUAGAACAGGCUGACCAGAGAAACUGUGGAUGCCCCAUCCCUGGAAGUGUUCAGUGCCAUGUUAGGAGGGGCCUUAGGCAACCUGGUCUAGUGGGAAGUGUCACUGCCCAUGGCAGGGGCAUUGGAACUAGAUAAUCUUUAAGGUCUCUUCCAACCCAAACCAUUCUAUGAUUCUAACACUCUUUACUUUAGCAACAAGCUUUUUUCCACUUCUAGUGUUUGCAGUGCACAAGUAUGGUUUUCUUAAAAAAAAAGAAUCAAGCUCCAAUAGAGCUUUUUGCCUGCACAUUUCUGACUAAAAGGGCUUGAGAUGAGAGGAAAAGCUUUGACGGAAAAGGAGAAGGGCAAUCUCGUACUGUUCAUUUAGGAGCCCUUAAAACUUUUACCUGGACUUGAAAAUAUAAGUUUUGCACCAAUUUUGGAGAAUUUUUCCCAUUCUGCAUAACUUCCUCCUCCCAAGAAUUUAGAACCUUCAACUUUAAAUUCAAAAUGACAAACACUUAAAGUUUUUAUGCAAUCCUUUUCAAAUGCUAAGAGCUUCAAGGAGCUUCACAAUAUCUAAGUCUGGCCUUAUUUUUCUACUUUAAUUCUAAAUUACCAGGACCUUCUGUAUUCAUCGAUUACUCUUAUUCAUUGCAACUUCAUUAUUUGGUCUUCUCCUGGGAAGGCAUAAUGUCUAGCCCUUGCCUGUUAAGUGCUGGGGAAGAUCAUGGUGCAAAUCCUGGAAGCUAUGCUAAGGCAUAUGAAAGAAAGGGAGGUGAUAUGGGAUAACCAGUAUAGCUUCACUAAGGGCAGGUCCUGCCUGACCAACUUUGUCACGUUUUAUGAUGGUGUAACUGCAUCAGUAGACAAAGAAAGAGCCACUGAUAUAAUCUGUCUGGACUUCAGUAAGGUCUUUGACACAAUCCUCCAUAACAUCCUUCUCCCCAGAGUGGAAAGGCAUGGAUUUGAUUGGUGGAUUGCAUGAUGGAAGAGGAACUGGUUGUGAGAUCAUACUCAGAGAGUGGUGAUCAGUGGCUCAACGUCUGGGUGGAGGUCAAUGACAAGUGGUGUCCCUCAAGUGUCAGUACUGGGACCAGUGCUCUUUAACUUCUUCAUCAAUUAAAUUGACAGUGGGAUUGAGUGCACCUCCAGCAGGUUUCCAGAGGACACCAAAACUUGCGGUGAGGUUGACAUGCCCAUGGGAUGGGAUGCCAUUUAGAAAGACAUAGACAGGAUUGUGCACUGGACCCUGGUGAAUAUCAUGAGGUUCAGUAAAUCCAAGUGGAAGGUCUUGCACCUGGGUCAUGGCAAGCCCUGCUAUCAGUACAAGCUGGGGGAUGUAAGGAUGGAGCACAGCCCUGCUGAAAAGGACUUGGGCAUACUGAUGGUUGGCAAGCUGGACAUGAGCCAGCAAUAUGCCCUUGGAGCCCAGAAAACUGGCCAUAUCCUGGGCUGCAUCAAAAAAAGCAUGGUCAGCAGAUCAAGGGAGGAGAUCCUUCCCCUCUACUCUGCACUGGUGAGACCUCACCUGGGAGCACUGUGUCCAGAUGUGGAGUCCUCAGCACAGGAUAGGUAUGGACCUGUUAGAGCGCAUCCAGAGGAUGGCCACUAAAAUGAUCCAAGGGAUGGAACACCUUCCCUUUGAGGACAGGUUGAGAGAGCUGGGGCUGUUCAGCCUGGAGAAGAGAAAGCUCUGGGGAGAUCUGAUUGUGGCCUUUCAGUAUCUAAUGAUGGAGUACAAGAAGGAAGGGGAUAAACUCUUUAUCAGAGUCUGUUGUGAUAGGACAAGGGGAAACGGUUUCAAACUAAGAGAGAGGGAUUUGGAUUGGAUUUAAGGAAGAAGUUUUUUACAAUAAGGGUGAUGAGGCACUGGAAUGAGUUGUCCAGAAAAGUCAUGGAAGCCCAAUCCUUGGAGACAUUCAAAGUUAGGCUGGACAGGGCUCAGAGCAACCUGAUGUAGCUGUAGAUGUCUGUUCAUUGCAAGGGAGUUGGACUUGAUGAUCUUUUAAAUUUUCACCUCAAAAUAUUGUAUGACUCCAUGAUUCUAAGUCCCCUUUUUUUUUACAGGAAACAAAAAUGAAGCACUGACAAUACUCUGCCAUAAAAAUAAAUAAGCUAUGCUGUAUUUAUCUCCAUCUUAUUCAACAAUAACAUACUGCAAUGUUGGAGGGCAGGUUGCUCGGCAGCACGUAGCUACUGAUUUACUAAUGAUUUACGAUGUAAUCUUAGAUGAAAGGGGUAAGUUAUACCUGCAUGGAAUGUGGUGUUUCUAGUAGAGUUCUGUACUUAACAACAUGUACUGUACACAAAAUUAGCCUGGGUAACGGUAUUGUUCUCUUAUACGCUUGGUCGCAUAGACCCUGUAUCCCUGGAAGCAUAUAUGCUAUAUAAGAUGGUGUGUUGCGACAAUAAAGUUGAAGCCGUGAACUCAUAUUGAGUGUAGAGCUUCCCGCGCCGUGGGGGGUGACCCUGUGGGAAACUUGGGGAGUUUCCCAACACUGCAAGGCUGUUACACUGGAAAACAAAUACCCUAUUCAUAUGGCCUCCUGUCAGUGUAAGUCCUACCUACAGAACUACUCAAUGCAAUUGAGCAGCUGAAAGUGUGCAUCAAAGAGGGAAAUGAAGAUAUCUAAACAGGCAUGUAUAAAAACUGUGGUAUAUGC